Long non-coding RNA from Labrus mixtus (cuckoo wrasse), 668 nucleotides. RefSeq lists it as uncharacterized. The record is from RefSeq and is a predicted model, not a curated record. Lineage: Eukaryota; Metazoa; Chordata; Actinopteri; Labriformes; Labridae. The transcript is spliced from 2 exons.
UAAAGGUCACAUAUCCUCCUCCUCUUCUUCAGUUUAAAUAAGUCUCAGAGCUCCUCAAAACAUGUGUGUGAAGUUUAUUGUUCUAAAUCUACUCUGAUCCUGUAUUUGAUCAUGUCUAUAAACCUCUCUAUUUCAGCCCUGCUCAGAACAGGCUGUUUCUGUGUCUGUACCUUUAAAUAUGUAGAUGAGCUGUGUCUGACCACGCCCCCCUCUCUGGAAGGGCUCGGGUUUCUCUGCUUUCUCGCUCCAUGUUCUAUUGUUUACGGUGAGAAGGCAGACUCAGAGGGCAGAACAAACACCUAGCUGUGGGAGUGUCACCCACCUGGGGGAGGGGCUACUGCCCUUUGUGAUGUCAUGAAGGGAGAACCUCCAAACGGCCUGUUUGAGCACACAUUUUCUGAAAAGUGGAGCAGGCAGAAGACGGAGAGGAUGGACUUUUCUCAUCAUUGGGGGACGGACUAGAGACACAUAUUAGAGUUAGAGAAACAUGGAGAGUAUUUGGCACAAUAUGUCACCGUUUUAUAUCUCAGGAAAGAAAGGUGAAGACUCAGUCAAGAUUUGAGAUGUUAUGUUUGUAUUAAAUUGUUUUGUUUGGUUGAUGAAUGAACUUACACAAAUGAAUAAAUGAACAAAGCAGGCAGGCAUAAAAUGACCCUGAAUAAAAUGAC